This 253-nucleotide unclassified non-coding RNA is filed under the name uncultured Caryophanales bacterium. RNAcentral describes it as "uncultured Bacillales bacterium contains 16S-23S intergenic spacer region". It matches the Rfam family "Bacterial small subunit ribosomal RNA", at positions 524 to 776 of the family's 1533-position model. Lineage: Bacteria; Bacillati; Bacillota; Bacilli; Caryophanales. The record is from RNAcentral.
UACGUAGGUGGCAAGCGUUGUCCGGAAUUACUGGGCGUAAAGCGCGCGCAGGCGGCCUCUUAAGUCUGAUGUGAAAGCCCCCGGCUCAACCGGGGAGGGCCAUUGGAAACUGGGAGGCUUGAGUAUAGGAGAGAAGAGUGGAAUUCCACGUGUAUCGGUGAAAUGCGUAGAUAUCCGAAGGAACAUCAGUGGCGAAGGCGACUCUCUGGUCCAAGACUGACGCUGAGGCGCGAAAGCGUGGGGAGCAAACAGG